RNAcentral lists this transfer-messenger RNA (177 nucleotides) under Veillonella sp. RNAcentral describes it as "partial transfer-messenger RNA". It matches the Rfam family "transfer-messenger RNA", at positions 1 to 201 of the family's 374-position model. From Rfam's summary of the family: Bacterial tmRNA, also known as 10Sa RNA or SsrA, is named for its dual tRNA and mRNA-like properties. Its role is to liberate the mRNA from a stalled ribosome. Lineage: Bacteria; Bacillati; Bacillota; Negativicutes; Veillonellales; Veillonellaceae. The record is from RNAcentral.
GGGGAUGUAAAGGUUUCGACAGGGGUGCGUGUGGUAUAGAUAGCGAGUCGGCGUUCCAUGAGGCCGUUAAACGGUGGGAAAACAUUUAAACGCAGAAGAAAAUUUUGCAUUAGCUGCAUAAGCUACGUCCCUCAUACUUGUGCCUACCAAGUGUGAAUGGACGUCAAACCGUAGGCU